Non-coding RNA from Vicugna pacos (alpaca), 105 nucleotides. NCBI's taxonomy places the organism in Eukaryota, Metazoa, Chordata, Mammalia, Artiodactyla, Camelidae. The record is from RefSeq and is a predicted model, not a curated record.
GGGGGCAAUGAGGAGAUAUUGGCCAAAGAGUAUAAACUUCCAUUUAAAAGAUAAAUAAGUUCUGGGGAUCUAAUUACAGCAUGGUGACUAUAGAUCUGAAGAGCA